GGAAUAUAAUAACCCGUCUCUUAACUUUUAACUAAAAAAACUAAGAACCGAUUCUUAAAUAAGAGUUUUAAGAGCUGGUUCUUAACUUUUUUAGUUAAAAAUUAAAAAAGUGGUUUUUAUAUUCC
This is a non-coding RNA of Brassica napus (rape), 125 nucleotides long. The record is from Rfam. NCBI's taxonomy places the organism in Eukaryota, Viridiplantae, Streptophyta, Magnoliopsida, Brassicales, Brassicaceae.